AAAGAAUUUGGUCCAUUUGUGGAUCCCUUGAGUUGUGAAAUAAUUUGUAUCGGUGGUCGCAGGAUUGUACUGGCUUUAGUUUAAUUGGGCCGGUAUGAAAGAUCUGUGAUUGAUUCAAGGGUAAAUUGCAGGCCACACCCGUUGACCAUGUUUUAUUUCCAUGGAUUGUCAAAGUCAAAUGUGGUUUUCACCAUUUGUCUUUUCGCCUGCAAAAUGACGCUUCUGCCCUUGCGCUUCUCUCUUAGUAACUGUUGAAAUGUACGGUUUAGUUUAGCAGGUUUAGUUACGUACACUGUUCCGGUUCAGUUGAAGAUUUUUUGUUUCACGUUGACGCGAUUCGGUUCCGUUACAAGUGAGAUUAUUUCCAUUAUUCCGAAGUGACAUCAACAUUUAAUGCCCCCAAAAAGUUUAGAUGUGACUAUUGUCACAAUUAAUGCAAAAUCAUCAUUACAUCAAAUAAUAUUAAAAAAAUUAUUGAUAAU
This 482-nucleotide small RNA is filed under the name Arabidopsis thaliana (thale cress). RNAcentral's name for it is "ATSL169900". Lineage: Eukaryota; Viridiplantae; Streptophyta; Magnoliopsida; Brassicales; Brassicaceae. The record is from RNAcentral.